AAAUUGAAGAGUUUGAUCAUGGCUCAGAUUGAACGCUGGCGGCAGGCCUAACACAUGCAAGUCGAACGGUAACAGAAAUCAGCUUGCUGAUUUGCUGACGAGUGGCGGACGGGUGAGUAAUGUCUGGGAAACUGCCUGAUGGAGGGGGAUAACUACUGGAAACGGUAGCUAAUACCGCAUAACGUCGCAAGACCAAAGAGGGGGACCUUCGGGCCUCUUGCCAUCGGAUGUGCCCAGAUGGGAUUAGCUAGUAGGUGGGGUAACGGCUCACCUAGGCGACGAUCCCUAGCUGGUCUGAGAGGAUGACCAGCCACACUGGAACUGAGACACGGUCCAGACUCCUACGGGAGGCAGCAGUGGGGAAUAUUGCACAAUGGGCGCAAGCCUGAUGCAGCCAUGCCGCGUGUAUGAAGAAGGCCUUCGGGUUGUAAAGUACUUUCAGCGGGGAGGAAGGGAGUAAAGUUAAUACCUUUGCUCAUUGACGUUACCCGCAGAAGAAGCACCGGCUAACUCCGUGCCAGCAGCCGCGGUAAUACGGAGGGUGCAAGC
RNAcentral lists this ribosomal RNA (549 nucleotides) under Escherichia coli. RNAcentral describes it as "bacterial SSU rRNA". It matches the Rfam family "Bacterial small subunit ribosomal RNA", at positions 1 to 539 of the family's 1533-position model. The record is from RNAcentral. Lineage: Bacteria; Pseudomonadati; Pseudomonadota; Gammaproteobacteria; Enterobacterales; Enterobacteriaceae.